UACAGAGGGUGCAAGCAUUAAUCGGAAUUAUUGGGCGUAAAGGGCGUGUAGGCGGUUGGUCAAGUCUGGUGUGAAAGCCCGGGGCUUAACCCCGGAAGUGCAUUGGAAACUAGCCAGCUGGAGCGCGAGAGAGGAGGGUGGAAUUCCUGGUGUAGCGGUGAAAUGCGUAGAUAUCAGGAGGAACACCGGCGGCGAAGGCGGCCCUCUGGCUCGUUGCUGACGCUGAGGCGCGAAAGCGUGGGGAGCAAACAGG
Molecule: ribosomal RNA, 253 nt
Filed under: uncultured bacterium
Lineage: Bacteria
Description: partial 16S ribosomal RNA
Rfam family: Bacterial small subunit ribosomal RNA
Source: RNAcentral